RNAcentral lists this ribosomal RNA (605 nucleotides) under Eropterus sp. UPOL A00546. RNAcentral describes it as "partial 16S ribosomal RNA". It matches the Rfam family "Archaeal large subunit ribosomal RNA", at positions 1951 to 2786 of the family's 2987-position model. Lineage: Eukaryota; Metazoa; Arthropoda; Insecta; Coleoptera; Lycidae. The record is from RNAcentral.
CAUGUCCUUUUGAUGAUAAUUUAAGGUCUAAUCUGCUCAAUGAUUAAUUAAAUUGCCGCAGUAUUUUGACUGUGCAAAGGUAGCAUAAUAAUUAGUUUCUUGAUUAGAAGCUUGUAUGAAUGAUUGGACGAGAAAUUUACUGUCUCUUUUUGAAUUUUUUUGAAUUUUAUUUUUAAGUAAAAAAGCUUAAAUUUUGAUAAAAGACGAGAAGACCCUAUAGAGUUUAAUAUUUAAUAAUUAUUUAAUUUUGGAAUUUUCUUUUGUGAUUAAGUAUUUGGUUGGGGUGACUUGGAGAUUUGAUGAAUUCUUUAAAUUUUGUAUUGAUGAUUAUUAAUUUUUUAAUCUGGAAUUUUUAAAUUUAAAAUAAAUUACCUUAGGGAUAACAGCGUAAUUUUUCUUUAAAGUUCUUAUUGAAAGAAAAUUUUGCGACCUCGAUGUUGGAUUAAAAUAAAUUUUUGGUGCAGCAACUUAAAAAUUAGGUCUGUUCGACCUUUAAUAUUUUACAUGAUUUGAGUUUAAACCGGUGUAAGCCCGGUUGGAUUCUAUCUUUAGUUUGUUAAAAUAUUUUAGUACGAAAGGACCAAAUAUGUAUCAAAUAUUGAUUG